GUGUUCACCUCUGAAGCACAUAUACUAAAACUGGAACAAUACAGAGAAGAUUAGCAUGGCGCCUGAGCAAGGAUGACCACAAAUUCAUGAAGGGUUCCAUAAUUUU
Molecule: small nuclear RNA, 106 nt
Organism: Loxodonta africana (African savanna elephant)
Lineage: Eukaryota; Metazoa; Chordata; Mammalia; Proboscidea; Elephantidae
Source: Ensembl